This 1433-nucleotide ribosomal RNA is filed under the name uncultured organism. Its description in RNAcentral is "16S ribosomal RNA". It matches the Rfam family "Bacterial small subunit ribosomal RNA". The record is from RNAcentral.
GCGGCGUGCUUAACACAUGCAAGUCGAACGGAAAGGCCCUGCUUUUGUGGGGUGCUCGAGUGGCGAACGGGUGAGUAACACGUGAGUAACCUGCCCUUGACUUUGGGAUAACUUCAGGAAACUGGGGCUAAUACCGGAUAGGAGCUCCUGCUGCAUGGUGGGGGUUGGAAAGUUUCGGCGGUUGGGGAUGGACUCGCGGCUUAUCAGCUUGUUGGUGGGGUAGUGGCUUACCAAGGCUUUGACGGGUAGCCGGCCUGAGAGGGUGAUCGGCCACAUUGGGACUGAGAUACGGCCCAGACUCCUACGGGGGGCAGCAGUGGGGAAUAUUGCACAAUGGGCGGAAGCCUGAUGCAGCAACGCCGCGUGCGGGAUGACGGCCUUCGGGUUGUAAACCGCUUUCGCCUGUGACGAAGCGUGAGUGACGGUAAUGGGUAAAGAAGCACCGGCUAACUACGUGCCAGCAGCCGCGGUGAUACGUAGGGUGCGAGCGUUGUCCGGAUUUAUUGGGCGUAAAGGGCUCGUAGGUGGUUGAUCGCGUCGGAAGUGUAAUCUUGGGGCUUAACCCUGAGCGUGCUUUCGAUACGGGUUGACUUGAGGAAGGUAGGGGAGAAUGGAAUUCCUGGUGGAGCGGUGGAAUGCGCAGAUAUCAGGAGGAACACCAGUGGCGAAGGCGGUUCUCUGGGCCUUUCCUGACGCUGAGGAGCGAAAGCGUGGGGAGCGAACAGGCUUAGAUACCCUGGUAGUCCACGCUGUAAACGGUGGGUACUAGGUGUGGGGUCCAUUCCACGGGUUCCGUGCCGUAGCUAACGCUUUAAGUACCCCGCCUGGGGAGUACGGCCGCAAGGCUAAAACUCAAAGGAAUUGACGGGGCCCCGCACAAGCGGCGGAGCAUGCGGAUUAAUUCGAUGCAACGCGUAGAACCUUACCUGGGUUUGACAUGGAUCGGGAGUGCUCAGAGAUGGGUGUGCCUCUUUUGGGGUCGGUUCACAGGUGGUGCAUGGCUGUCGUCAGCUCGUGUCGUGAGAUGUUGGGUUAAGUCCCGCAACGAGCGCAACCCUUGUUCACUGUUGCCAGCACGUUAUGGUGGGGACUCAGUGGAGACCGCCGGGGUCAACUCGGAGGAAGGUGGGGAUGACGUCAAGUCAUCAUGCCCCUUAUGUCCAGGGCUUCACGCAUGCUACAAUGGCUGGUACAGAGAGUGGCGAGCCUGUGAGGGUGAGCGAAUCUCGGAAAGCCGGUCUCAGUUCGGAUUGGGGUCUGCAACUCGACCUCAUGAAGUCGGAGUCGCUAGUAAUCGCAGAUCAGCAACGCUGCGGUGAAUACGUUCCCGGGGCUUGUACACACCGCCCGUCAAGUCAUGAAAGUUGGUAACACCCGAAGCCGGUGGCCUAACCGUUGUGGGGGAGCCGUCGAAGGUGGGACUGGUGAUUAGG